RNAcentral lists this long non-coding RNA (375 nucleotides) under Linum usitatissimum (flax). RNAcentral's name for it is "long non-coding RNA (LUSI_LNC007480)". Lineage: Eukaryota; Viridiplantae; Streptophyta; Magnoliopsida; Malpighiales; Linaceae. The record is from RNAcentral.
GCAGUUAAAAACCAAUUAGAGACCAAACUCAAUCCAAUAAGAGCAAAUAAAUAAGAUUCCAUACAGUUUAAUGGCAGAAAUCUUCCUCGUACAAAAUAGCUAUUAACAUUAAAAACCAGAAAUUAACCAAAAAUACCCUCAAAUAUUUCAAAACAGGAAGAGAUUCAAAGCAGCCAAUCCCCCCAAAAAAGAUAAAAAGGAAAAGGAAACUGACUCCAUCACAAAUCACUCUCAACCCUAUUUAACAUAAACCCUACAAUGACAAAAACCAACGACUCAAGUUUCACACCAACAGCAUUAAUCCAACAUAGCAUCCCAAUUCCAGGAGCUUUAGAAGCACUUCCUGUGGACGAUUGAAGGGCCGGAUUCGUCGUA